Molecule: ribosomal RNA, 497 nt
Filed under: uncultured bacterium
Lineage: Bacteria
Description: partial 16S ribosomal RNA
Rfam family: Bacterial small subunit ribosomal RNA
Source: RNAcentral
GAUGAACGCUGGCGGCGUGCCUAAUACAUGCAAGUCGAGCGAACAGACGAGGAGCUUGCUCCUCUGACGUUAGCGGCGGACGGGUGAGUAACACGUGGAUAACCUACCUAUAAGACUGGGAUAACUUCGGGAAACCGGAGCUAAUACCGGAUAAUAUAUUGAACCGCAUGGUUCAAUAGUGAAAGACGGUUUUGCUGUCACUUAUAGAUGGAUCCGCGCCGCAUUAGCUAGUUGGUACGGUAACGGCUUACCAAGGCAACGAUGCGUAGCCGACCUGAGAGGGUGAUCGGCCACCCUGGAACUUGGACACGGUCCCUACUCCUACGGGAGGCAGCAGUAGGGAAUCUUCCGCAAUGGGCGAAAGCCUGACGGAGCAACGCCGCGUGAGUGAUGAAGGUCUUCGGAUCGUAAAACUCUGUUAUUAGGGAAGAACAAAUGUGUAAGUAACUAUGCACGUCUUGACGGUACCUAAUCAGAAAGCCACGGCUAACUACGUG